UUCCAGAUUUGGAUCUUCAUCAUCAUGUAAGCGGCAAUCCAAAUUAUUCAAUUAAUUUGGAUGAUGUUGACGUUCUCGAAGCGGAACACGAUCAGGAAGAAGAGGCUGAAUUAAACAUUCCUGAUGCGAGAGGAAAACGAAAGGGAAAAAAACAAGCAAAAUGUUGGGAUCACUUUAAAUUGAUUUCAACGGGAAAAAUCAUCAAUGGAGUCCAAGAAUCCAAAACAGUAUGUAAAUACUG
RNAcentral lists this long non-coding RNA (241 nucleotides) under Olea europaea (common olive). RNAcentral describes it as "long non-coding RNA (OEUR_LNC002003)". Lineage: Eukaryota; Viridiplantae; Streptophyta; Magnoliopsida; Lamiales; Oleaceae. The record is from RNAcentral.